Molecule: non-coding RNA, 174 nt
Filed under: uncultured Prevotella sp.
Lineage: Bacteria; Pseudomonadati; Bacteroidota; Bacteroidia; Bacteroidales; Prevotellaceae
Source: RNAcentral
GGUGCGCGGAUGAAGCGCUCAAAAGGGAACGGAGUGAAAGUCUCCGACUGUCCCGCAGCUGUAAGCUCCUUUAUUGUUUUCCCGGCGAUGACGCCACUGCCCUUUGUCGUUGUUUGAUAGGGUGGGAAGGUGUCGGGAGAGUGGAGCGAAGUCAGAAUACCUGCCUUGACUGUU